AAUACUAAAAGCACAAUAUGGUGAGCAGAGAGUGUGCCACCUCAUCAAAAAUAAUCAGCCAAUAAGAAUAUUUCAUUUCGGGUCUGGGCUUCAGUUUUGUUUCGAAUGGGCUUUGAUAUGUCUUCGGCUCUGGGCUUCGUGUUCGUUUAGAAUUGGCACAUCAGCAGAUGUGAGCCCCACUUUAUAUUGAUUUGGUUUGGUAUCUAACUAAUGUUGUUUGUUUAAUUUGAGUUUUAUUUUUCUACGGUUUAAUUUUUUUCCCGUACGGUUCUCUUAAUGUCGUUGGUUCUCUUACGGAUUUAGGGUUAUCGUUUUUUGACUCUUCUUCACCCUCGCCGUUCCUCAAAACUCGGUCUGUAAACCCAAAGUUUUCUUUUUACAACUCUUAACCUCCCCUAACGUAGAUUCAACGUAUUCUACUUAAUUCCCCAUUAAUCCAGUAAUAAUGUAAACCUCUCUGUUUCCUUCAUUUGAUCUAUAAAUUGGAGAGGAUUCCGGGUGGGAUGAAUCUUCACAAUCACUUUCGAUUCAUCUUCCAUAUCAAGCAUACAAAGAUCCUUUGAUAAAGUCGUCCACAGAUGCUUUGAAGAGGCAGAUGACUAACUAUAUGCUUCAGGACGAUUAAAAUCAUCAGAAGGUACAAACUUUUUAAAAAACAACGAGAUUCGGUUCUUUACACUUUAAUUCAAUCUCAUAUUCCUUAUUAAUCUUUUGAUGACUCCAUCUACAGGGAGCUCGAUCGUUUUUCUUUUCAUUGGAUUUGCAGCAUUUUGUUUUAGUAUCUUUCUGUUUUUUUUCCUCAGUUAUGUUAGAUAUGUUUUAUUGAUUCAGAGUUUGGUCUGAUUCUACGCUUCUGGUUCGAUAGAUGAGCAAAAAAAUGAGUCAGAACCAUUGAUUUGAUCGAGCAGAGGCAGAGCGUCUGAAGCUUUGAUGCAUCAUCGAGAAAAAUCUUUUGAGUCUUAGAGAGUUUCAGAGUUUCAGGGGAACAGAUUUAGGAUGAUAAAGGCAAGCCAAACCUAGCCAAAUUCUACGGUGAUAUGUCUUCGUUUCUUUGAAAUUUUAAUUUCUUACGUGGACGACUGUGACCUAUUCUCAACUUAUGAUUUGCGGUUACAGCUACAGAAGCAAUACGAGCUCAUAAGCAACGUAUUUUCAGCGUGAUACACAUUUAAGGAAGUGACAGAGUCAUCGAGUCAGUCAUGGAAUAUGCUGCCAAAGAAAACUGUGGGAUGCUGUACCGUUACUGCAAAGCUAUGGGAUAAGGGCUCCAUCAGGAGGACAGGGUGUUGAGGAAGGCCGUAGAGAAAACAAAAAAGAGGGUGAUGAAGUAACAGAGAAUCUCCUGGACAUUGACCCGCUAGAAAACAUGGUUAGACUUAGAGAUGAUGUUUUCAAGUGUAGAAGAAUAAAGAAAGAAAAACUUCAAAGGUUAAGGUAAAACCCAAUCUUUACAUUUUUCAUCUACUUUCGUUUGAUGAAAACUUGAUCCAUAGGUUUAUUUGUUUGAAUAUAUUUGAAUUAAUGGCAGGAGGAGUUGACGACCAAAGUGGACCACCAAGACCACCAAUAUUGUUGAUGAGAAGGUCGAUAUGUUUGCCAUUGGUGUAUUGGUUCUAUAAGUCAUAACCAGUCGUAGAGUUGUUGAUACAACAGAAGCCAUGUCAGGGGUGGUUGUGAAUGCGUGCUAUUUUCAGGAUCACACAGCCCCCUCAUACCUCAACGAACUCAUCCGCCACGGGCAACUCCUAAUGGAGUGAGUAGAAACAAUCAAAUAAAACUUAAAUGUCUGGUAACUAAUGUGCUUAUGCCUUGCCUUAGUCCCCCUUGAUUGAGUUUUGCUUCUUAAGAUUCUCAAUUGGUUGCUUCUUUUAUUUCAGUCAACCAAACGGUGAAUAUCACCUAGAUGUGUCUCUAUGUUGUUCUACUGAUUUUUGUUUAGGCUCAAACCUCGGAGCAGUUGUCAAUAUUCUACAAAGUUCAUGUAGUUUUAAUCUAAGCAUAAAAUUAAACCCCA
Brassica napus (rape) is the source of this 2014-nucleotide long non-coding RNA. RefSeq lists it as uncharacterized. The transcript has 3 exons. The record is from RefSeq and is a predicted model, not a curated record. Lineage: Eukaryota; Viridiplantae; Streptophyta; Magnoliopsida; Brassicales; Brassicaceae.